CUUUUAGAAAUAAUUAUUGAAAUAUUUUUGAAUAUAUGUUAUUGAAAAAGAAUAUAAGCAAUUUUAUAAACUACGUCACGCUAAGUUUAAGUUUCAAAAACUUCGCGGUAAACAUUGCUAAAAUUGCAAACUCUCCGUGACGUAGGGCAAUUCGGGGCAAUAUGCGACAACGGGAAAGAUGAGACAACUUUCUUUUAUCCUUUCUGGAGAUAGUAAUCAUCAUAGUCCUUCAUUAAUACUAAGCAUAUAGUUUGUGGUUGUACUUGCUAAGCUUAACACACCUGUUUUUUGGAAUGUUUAGUUUGUUUGAUGACAAAAUAACUGGUAUUUUUAAAACUUAGGAAAGCCAUUAUUUUUUUCAACGCGUUACUUAGUGAAGACAUAUUCAAUGCAAUUCAUAUUCUUGAUAAAUAUUUAGAAGUACUAGUGUCGUGCUGCUAAUUUUUUAAAAAAAGAUUUCUUUAUUAUUCAUACCCCAAAAAGAAAAGAAAAUCUAAUUUGAUUUGUAAGGAGAAAUGUUUGCGCAAGUAAAUAAAUUGCUGCUAUCUAGAACAUUUGGAAUACAGUCCAUAUGGUACCAUCGACUUGGUAAUAGUUCACUCAGAGGAUUUAUAUAAUACAAGCAUUUUUCCUUUGGUUUGAUUAUCUGGAACAAAAGUGACACUGUUUAAUACCAUAUGUUUCCUUCGAAUCAGAGCAGUUUUUUUGGUAACUUUUCCAACGACAGCAAUCCGGCUGGUGCUAGUACUUCAAUUGCAUUCUUACAUGUAAAAAAAAAACUUUAUUUACGAAGUAUUGUUACUUACCUUGCAAUGUUUAUUUUAUAAAAACAAAGUAUUGUUAACCGGUUAACAAUUGAGGAUUUUAUUUUGUAGAUUUGUUACACAAUAAAAUAAUUUUAAUACAUAA
Non-coding RNA from Hydra vulgaris (swiftwater hydra), 909 nucleotides. The record is from RefSeq and is a predicted model, not a curated record. NCBI's taxonomy places the organism in Eukaryota, Metazoa, Cnidaria, Hydrozoa, Anthoathecata, Hydridae.